Molecule: ribosomal RNA, 22 nt
Filed under: uncultured fungus
Lineage: Eukaryota; Fungi
Description: partial 18S ribosomal RNA
Source: RNAcentral
GUGAACCUGACGGAAGGAUGCA